AUGCCACUCAAGAUAUUUACAUUAACACCACUAGGAACUCCAGGCCCAACACUCACACUAGCAGCACUAGGAAUAUUGCUUGCACUUAUAUUAGCACUCCCCAGCACGCUGCUUGUCACAUUAGGACUGAAACUACCCACAGCAGCAAUGUUAACAUUAUUCACUGUAUUAGUGCCAGUAACAGAAUUUAUACCUAUACCGCCUGCAGUGCUGGGGGCACGGAUAUUAGUCAUUACAGAUGCAGGUGAGCCACUCGAUGAUGCAAUGUUCACAUCAGAGGAUGAGCACGUGGUUGGGUGCGUGAUGUGUGCCGGAUGCAUUCGUGCUGAACGAAGUUGCAUAGCAUCAACACUGCAGAUCCUGGGGAGGCCAGAAAUCAGUAAACCACUUCAGCCCCCUGUCAUUUUUCCUCCUAGAGCAGAGCACAGAGCUCUCAUACAAGGAUGCUGUGUGCCCGAACGCCGGGAUUCAUUGUUGAAGUUCCAAAUGCGUUGUUAAUCCUAGAGAAGAAUCCACAGCCAGGGCUGUCUGUCGCUGCAGUGGCAGGAGCGGGGGUAACUCAUCCGCCUAGCACGCACCCUUCUGUCCCCCCUUCCAGGCUGUGUUUUACAGCUCUUUGGAGCUGUGGUUCUCAUUCUUAUUCUAUCCCUGAUUUACUGCUUGACCUCAAAAUGAGUCACUAAAUCUCAGUUAAUAGCUUCAGUUUCUCCUCCAGUGAGAGCCAAAGGGGCUUGGCUAUCGGGUUAGCAAACACCAAGCCUUAAAAAGUGGCUGUAUAACUCAAUGUCAUCCAUCAUCUCUGGAAGGUUAAUGGGAGUGAACCGCCAAUACAAAGCUCCACUCCAGCUCCCUCCACUCCUCCCAAGUUAGCCUCUGGGGGUUGUUCCAGUGCUGGGUAGUGCAUUUAGGGGAAAAGGACAAAGAAGCCGGAAGCAGUUACCCCAAACUCAAGAGAGAAGACAUCUUGGCAACAGAAAGCAGCUAGGAGAAACUAUGACUCUCUGGCCAGAGUGAUUGUGAUUUGGUUCCCAAGUUUCCCCCUUGGAAAGAGUAAAUUGGUUCCUGCUUUUAAAAGAUGAAUGAAAAAGGCCACUGUGCACAUCAGCUUUCAAUAUUUAAAGUUAAGGUAGACACAGGUUUAUGCAGUAAAUCAAUUAUGGAGCGAUUAUUCACAUUCCCCUAGCAUUUACCACUUGCUUUCUUUGCAGAGAGCAUUGCCAGAGCUUUGACCUAAGAUGUGGGUUUAACGUUAGAGAUUUGCAUACUGUCCUGCAGUAGAAAUCUGAUUGUAAGAGGAAUGCAUGGCUGGUCUCAGAGAGUGAUGGGUCAGGAAGUAUGAAUGCACAGUAGAGGCUGGCAUUUCCUUCAGGCGUCCCCCCUGCUGCCCAAACCUGCGGUUCCUGGAGAGGAAACAAAGCACAGAGGGAAAGCCCAGGUCCCCGCGAGAAAGAUCUGGAGGAGAGGGAGGCAUUGGGUGGGCUGGUUAAGUCCCAGCUUCGGACACUUGCAUCCUGUGAAGAAGUGCCUGGUUCACGUCCUGCUUGUGUGCACCCUGGGAGGCAGCAGAUGAUGACUGUAGGACUUGUGUCUCUACCACCCGUGUGGGAGCCCUGGAUUGAGUUCCAGGCUUUGGCCUGGCCCAGCCCCUGGUGUUGUGGGCAUUUGGGAGGAUUCUCUCUCUCUCUCUCCUCUCUCUCUAAUAGAAUGAAAAUAAAUACAUAAAAAUUUUUAAAAAGAAAGUUCA
RNAcentral lists this long non-coding RNA (1744 nucleotides) under Oryctolagus cuniculus (rabbit). RNAcentral describes it as "lncRNA (ENSOCUG00000032741.1)". Lineage: Eukaryota; Metazoa; Chordata; Mammalia; Lagomorpha; Leporidae. The record is from RNAcentral.